UUGCACCACGCCCACGAUAACAUAAUUAUAUAAAUAGGGUCCUAAACGAACUAUUGCAUACAUACCACACUUUCCUUUUGCUUCCUGUGUAAGUCUCGUCAAGGAUGACUUCAAAAAUGAAAAUCACGUUACCGUUAGCUUUCAUUUUGUUCGCUGUAUUCAUGGCUGCAAUGCCAGGAUCUCUUGGAGCUCCUGAAGGAACCUGCCCAGAAACUGAUGUCACAACAGUUUACUUGCCGGACGAUGCGCGCUGCGAGUGGUUUUACAUCUGCUCUAACGGCAAUCCAGUGCGCCAAUCGUGUCCACCCGGAAUGGAUUGGAACAGAUCCUACAACAUCUGCGAUUAUCCUGGUAAUGCAAAUUGCCCCUUCAAUUAGUCGUCGUCUCCUCGUCGUACAAGAAUUCCGCUGGGCGUAAUCAAAAAGAGGUUUCAGAAUCAUCGUUAAUCAUAUUAAUUUGCAAUAAUAAAUCAGAAGAACAAGAAUGCCAUGCCAUGAAAUUAUAGGAACAAUUAAAUUUCUAUGGCUGCCGUUAA
Daphnia pulicaria is the source of this 535-nucleotide long non-coding RNA. RefSeq lists it as uncharacterized. The record is from RefSeq and is a predicted model, not a curated record. Lineage: Eukaryota; Metazoa; Arthropoda; Branchiopoda; Diplostraca; Daphniidae. The transcript is spliced from 3 exons.